RNAcentral lists this ribosomal RNA (740 nucleotides) under Cellulomonas sp. VC-CS61. RNAcentral describes it as "bacterial SSU rRNA". It matches the Rfam family "Bacterial small subunit ribosomal RNA", at positions 79 to 830 of the family's 1533-position model. Lineage: Bacteria; Bacillati; Actinomycetota; Actinomycetes; Micrococcales; Cellulomonadaceae. The record is from RNAcentral.
CUUGCUGGUCUGAUCAGUGGCGAACGGGUGAGUAACACGUGAGCAACCUACCCUUCACUCUGGGAUAAGCCUUGGAAACGGGGUCUAAUACCGGAUACGAGACGCACGGGCAUCUGUAGCGUCUGGAAAGAUUUAUCGGUGGGGGAUGGGCUCGCGGCCUAUCAGCUUGUUGGUGGGGUAAUGGCCUACCAAGGCGACGACGGGUAGCCGGCCUGAGAGGGCGACCGGCCACACUGGGACUGAGACACGGCCCAGACUCCUACGGGAGGCAGCAGUGGGGAAUAUUGCACAAUGGGCGCAAGCCUGAUGCAGCGACGCCGCGUGCGGGAUGACGGCCUUCGGGUUGUAAACCGCUUUCAGCAGGGAAGAAGCGCAAGUGACGGUACCUGCAGAAGAAGCGCCGGCUAACUACGUGCCAGCAGCCGCGGUAAUACGUAGGGCGCAAGCGUUGUCCGGAAUUAUUGGGCGUAAAGAGCUCGUAGGCGGUUUGUCGCGUCUGCUGUGAAAACCUCAGGCUCAACCUGGGGCUUGCAGUGGGUACGGGCAGACUAGAGUGCGGUAGGGGUGACUGGAAUUCCUGGUGUAGCGGUGGAAUGCGCAGAUAUCAGGAGGAACACCGAUGGCGAAGGCAGGUCACUGGGCCGCAACUGACGCUGAGGAGCGAAAGCAUGGGGAGCGAACAGGAUUAAAUACCCCUGGUAGUCCAUGCCCGUAAACGUUGGGCACUAGGUGUGGGGUCC